UUUCCGUAGGUGAACCUGCGGAGGGAUCAUUACCGAGUGAGGGUUCCGGUCCGACCUCCAACCCUUUGUGUAUCUCGACCCUGUUGCCUCGGGGGCGACCCGGCCUUCGGGCGUCUUGGGGCCCCCGGUGGACCACUCAACACUGCAUCUUUGCGUCUGAGUAAAUAUUUGAAUCAAUCAAAACUUUCAACAACGGAUCUCUUGGUUCUGGCAUCGAUGAAGAACGCAGC
This 230-nucleotide unclassified non-coding RNA is filed under the name uncultured fungus. Its description in RNAcentral is "sequence contains ITS1, 5.8S rRNA gene". The stretch from base 182 to 230 matches the Rfam family "5.8S ribosomal RNA", at positions 1 to 49 of the family's 154-position model. The record is from RNAcentral. Lineage: Eukaryota; Fungi.